CCCUUAGAUGUUCUGGGCCGCACGCGCGCUACACUGACGAAUGCAACGAGCUUAUAACCUUGGCCGAAAGGUCUGGGUAAUCUCCAAAUUUCGUCGUGAUGGGGAUAGAUUAUUGCAAUUAUUAAUCUUCAACGAGGAAUGCCUAGUAAGCGCAAGUCAUCAGCUUGCGUUGAUUACGUCCCUGCCCUUUGUACACACCGCCCGUCGCUCCUACCGAUUAAAUGGUCCGGUGAAGCGUUCGGACCGUGGCCUUUGGACGGUUCGCCGUCUGUUGGCUGCGGGAAGUUCGUUAAACCUUAUCAUUUAGAGGAAGGAGAANUCGUAACA
Molecule: ribosomal RNA, 327 nt
Filed under: uncultured eukaryote
Lineage: Eukaryota
Description: partial 18S ribosomal RNA
Rfam family: Eukaryotic small subunit ribosomal RNA
Source: RNAcentral